This 495-nucleotide ribosomal RNA is filed under the name uncultured bacterium. Its description in RNAcentral is "partial 16S ribosomal RNA". It matches the Rfam family "Bacterial small subunit ribosomal RNA", at positions 28 to 507 of the family's 1533-position model. The record is from RNAcentral.
GAUGAACGCUGGCGGCGUGCCUAAUACAUGCAAGUAGAACGCUGAAGGAGGAGCUUGCUCUUCUGGAUGAGUUGCGAACGGGUGAGUAACGCGUAGGUAACCUGCCUGGUAGCGGGGGAUAACUAUUGGAAACGAUAGCUAAUACCGCAUGACAACAGUUAUUGCAUGAUAACUGUUUAAAAGGGGCAACUGCUCCACUACCAGAUGGACCUGCGUUGUAUUAGCUAGUUGGUGAGGUAACGGCUCACCAAGGCGACGAUACAUAGCCGACCUGGGAGGGGGAUCGGCCAAACUGGGACUGAGACACGGCCCAGACUUCUACGGGAGGCAGCAGUAGGGAAUCUUCGGGAAUGGACGGAAGGCUGACCGAGCAACGCCGCGGGAGGGAAGAAGGGUUUCGGAUCGUAAAGAUUGGUUGUAAGAGAAGAACGAGUGGGGGAGUGGAAAGUGCACAUUGUGACGGUAUCUAACCAGAAAGGGACGGCUAACUACGUG